CCAACAGGUGAAUUACAGGAGAAGGUGAUUCACUCAAUCCAACCAGGAGACUGGGUGUGGAUCCAGUCCCUGAGGAGAAAAGAACUGGAAGCAGCCACAGUGGGAGGGGCCAUACCAAGUGCUCCUGGUAACAGCCUUUGCGGUGAGAAUAGCUGAAAGAGCUACCUGGGUUCAUAUCACACAUUGCGGGAGGGUAAGACACACUGACACUGUCGAACAAUCACAGAGUUGGAGAAGAACCGAAUACCAAUAAGGUUCGGGGGUUACCUCUCUAACGAAGAUUCCCUAACCCGCCCGAUCCUCACUGUGUGCGUUCAUAGAAGUGAAAGUGUGGGUUGGCCUCUAGCCAGUGAUAUGUUCUCCGGGAGGGGGUGCGGCUUUACAGAGGUACUGGUCGGUCUGAGCUGUCUGAUUGUGGGAGCCAUAUUCCUAAUACACCAUGAACCACUCGAGAAGUCAGAAAGUGGUAACUUGACCCAUAGUGUAGAAGAUGAGGAGUUUUUAUGCCCUAGGUACAAAAGGUCAUUCGAGCUGGAUAAAAAGGAAGUGAGAGUAGAGUUAGGGAAGGAUGUCUCAAUAGAGUUCUAUGCAGACCAAAUGGGGUCCCUAACCUCCUGGCAGUCUAGGACUCUGACUUCAUGGGGAAGAUAUCUGUGUAGAUCCCUGUGUAACUCAUGGAAUCAGGUCAUAGCUCACACAGGGAGAGAAGGCUAUGUCAAUCCACACACCCAAUAUAGAAACAGAUGGAGUAUAGUGAAAGCCAGGGUUUUUGACUGCAAUCCAGAGCAAGGGAAGUAUUGCUUAAAGGUAUGAAUUACCAUUAAAAGCGUUAAAAAAGGAGGAUUUAGGGUUAUGGUAUGUUGACCUUGACCAGACCAGUGUCGACACUACGGUACCAUUCCGAGUAGUAGAGGUUAGGACAGGAUACCAGUUGUACCCCUGAUAAAACGGACAUUACUCGUGUAGUCAUCCAGAGCCAAGGACUGGUGAGGAUAGUUCAGACGAAAGAUCUUAAGGAAUCACAAGAUGAGACAUCCGCCAGAGACAACAGCUACGCCAGGAAACAGGAGUGCGUCUAGAGGUUGGGACCAACCUGCACGCCAACGAUAGGCUGGAAUAAGUCUAAACCAUAUUCUAGCCUCUACUAUGACAGGCCCUCAUGGAGAGGGAACUAAGUCUGUCCAGUAUUUAAGGAAGAACUUGUGAUGUCAUACCAGUGUUCUCUGUCUGCCCUGCGGGGUUUACAGGGAGCCCGUAUAUACGAGCCACAUAUUUACCAUUCAAGUGUUUGCAUUAAUUAAAGUACACAGAAAUCAGAAGUUACUAUGUGCUGACUAUUUUGUUAUGAUACCAGAUUCGAAUUGACGCGACUUAACAUGG
RNAcentral lists this long non-coding RNA (1380 nucleotides) under Salmo salar (Atlantic salmon). RNAcentral describes it as "lncRNA (ENSSSAG00000105897.1)". Lineage: Eukaryota; Metazoa; Chordata; Actinopteri; Salmoniformes; Salmonidae. The record is from RNAcentral.